This 1308-nucleotide long non-coding RNA is filed under the name Durio zibethinus. RNAcentral's name for it is "long non-coding RNA (DZIB_LNC001025)". The record is from RNAcentral. Lineage: Eukaryota; Viridiplantae; Streptophyta; Magnoliopsida; Malvales; Malvaceae.
AAAUUCAUUGUAUUUAUCUGUUUAGUAAAAUAAAAAAAAUAAAAAAAACCCAAUUGGCUAGAAGAUUAACCAGUGAUGAGGUUGAGUUGAACUACUAUCUUCAAAUGAUAAUUCAAUUUGAAUGGAAAAGAUUUUUUUUUUUUUAGUUUCAAUCUGGUGAAAAGAUAAACAUGAUUUGAAGAUUUUAAUCACAGGUGAAACUUUAUUCAAGUGUGGGAACUAUAUUAUAAAAAGAUAGGCAGUACACACAAAGAAUGAUACGGCAGUAUUGAGAGCAAAAUAGAGAAUCACACAGAUACACACUUCAAUUCAGAGGAGUAGAAACACAGUAGCAAGAAACAGAGCAGAAGCGAGCAAGAUUCAACAACUAGAGACCAAGUCCUAAGUUUGCCAACAUCCUUAAACUAGCACGAGUUUGCCUUCAUUCCCAUUGCUAACCCAACAUCUCCGGCACUUACAGAGUAUAUACAUUCAUCAAUAUAAAAAACCUAGAAGUAGCAAAACCAAAAGAACCCAGCUUUAACCAAAUCUCAUAAUAGAACCAUCACAAUUUGGCAAUCGAAAGUGGCAACAUAAUCUAAAAUUCGAAACUCAUAUUCACCUAGUACAACUCACACCUAUCAUAAAUUCAACCAAAUAGCCAUUGCCUGAAGCCAUGAACCCUACAAAUAAAAAAUAAAUUUAGUCCCUAAGAAACAAAUAACAAUCUCAUCAUCUCUAAAUCGCUGUCUACGCUGUUGCCGAAACUGCGCUGCAACCAAAUCCUUACUCCACGAAAAACCUAUAUACAGCUAACACAAAUCCAAGGAAAAAAUGAAACAAAAUCAGAAACAAGGAAUCAAUCAAAGAGCAAGAAAAGAGAAAAAAAUUGGAGCACCUUCAACCACAGUAAUGUAAGCGGUUCACGGCAGCUAUUGAGUUUUAGAAGAUCUGGAAUGGUGGAAGUGUGGAGAUUAGUGAGGAAAAUAAUAUACUGAAAAGCCAGAGUGAUCAGAUGAUGUAAAAGAACGGAAACAGUAGAGGAAGAUCGUAGUUUUUCGCUUCAGAUCUGGAGUGAUUAAGGACGAUUUUCAAGAAAGCAACUUCAGAUUUAAGACUAGGAGGCUAAGAGGAAGUGACGAUGAAAUUUUGGGCUUUAACGAUGGUCGACUGGCAGCAGAGCUCCACGGUUGACAGCGGAGUAAAGAUCUGCAGUGACGAUCGGUGAUCAAAAUCUGAAAAUUCUAGAAAAAAGAGAGAAGCAGAGGAAAAAUUAGAGAGAGAAUGUAAAGAAACAUUUUGAAAAGAAAAAAAGAAACAGAUUUAGGC